UACGUAGGGGGCAAGCGUUGUCCGGAAUCAUUGGGCGUAAAGCGCGUGUAGGCGGCUUGGUAAGUCCGCUCUGAAAGCCCGGGGCUCAACCCCGGGAGGCGGGUGGAUACUGUCAAGCUCGAGUCCGGAAGAGGCGAGUGGAAUUCCUGGUGUAGCGGUGAAAUGCGCAGAUAUCAGGAGGAACACCAAUGGCGAAGGCAGCUCGCUGGGACGUGACUGACGCUGAUGCGCGAAAGCUAGGGGAGCAAACAGG
Molecule: ribosomal RNA, 253 nt
Filed under: uncultured bacterium
Lineage: Bacteria
Description: partial 16S ribosomal RNA
Rfam family: Bacterial small subunit ribosomal RNA
Source: RNAcentral